This 22-nucleotide unclassified non-coding RNA is filed under the name Chlamydomonas reinhardtii. RNAcentral's name for it is "small RNA Cre_2169". Lineage: Eukaryota; Viridiplantae; Chlorophyta; Chlorophyceae; Chlamydomonadales; Chlamydomonadaceae. The record is from RNAcentral.
UAAUUGAUGCCCCACUCGCCGG